CGCAAAUCGAAACGUCGUUCAUCCUGGAAGUGGAUGAGUGUUCUAGGUACGUGCUGAUAAUUGAUGAGGAAUGAUUCGAUUUUUUGGGGGGGUAACCUGAGAUCGAGUCUGUCCUAAAUUUCGGACAAAUUUAAAGCGUGCACUCAAAUCACCGACGCUCAUCACGAAGUCUUUCUUUUCAAGUGCACAGCUAAUGUUAGCUACUUAACUAACCUAAUGCUAGGUAGCUUUUGGGGUCUUAUUAAUAUUUAAAUAGUGUGAAAACGUGUACAAUUUGACCAACGGCGACACAAUGGUAAGCCUAAUCAGAAGAAUAAAAACGUACCUAGCAGCGACCCCUGAGAUCACCACCACCAUUAUGUAAGAAUAUAGAUAAGGAACAAGUCAAACUUUGGAUAUUUCAGACAUCAGAACGGCUUCAAAAGCUCCCACUUGUGAAUAUGAGCAACUCAUACAGUGUUUAUCUUAAUUCUUCUUUUUUUUUUUGCCAAAUAGAAAUUUAUUCUCGAAUUAUGCCCUAUAUAACACUGUACACUUCAUAUCUGGAUACUCGCAUGGCACUAACGGCUAAAAUCAAACGCUAAAAUAUUAGCUAAACGGAAAUAACAGAUCGGCACGUGGUACCUCCUCCCCUCAGGAACGACCUGUUUUACAACCCGAAAUAUUUUUUUAACGCUAAAAAUGUCCAUCGUUCCACUCUUGAUUCCUCAGCGUUUCUAGUACAUAUUAACCGAACGCGAUUUUCUCAGAGUUCCGCAAAACGUUACGCAACCUCUACGACGUAAACGCAUAACCUUCCUAACGAGCACGGGUGGGACGUGUAAUAUCAGCACACACUUAGUUCUCUUAGAAAAAUGACAAAGAAAUUACAGUACAGUUUCAGUUGGAAGACAGUUCCUGACAAUUAAUAUCAAACAUACCAAAAAUGCAACGUUGGUAGAAAUAAACAGAACGUUCACACACAUACCGAACCGAGCGUUCCCCAGUCCAAGUAGUAUCCCGACCCGAGAUCAGACGGAUCAGAUCGGGCGUUUUCAGAGAGGUAUCGCUGUAAGCGUGUUGAGAAUUUUCACUACACACAAAGUGGUGCACUGAGGAACAAUUCAAGCAAAAAAAAAAAAAAAGAAAAAGAAAAGAAAGAAAGAAAGAAAUUAAACGCACAGUGUCUCUCGUCUGUCUAAA
Ictalurus punctatus (channel catfish) is the source of this 1182-nucleotide long non-coding RNA. NCBI's taxonomy places the organism in Eukaryota, Metazoa, Chordata, Actinopteri, Siluriformes, Ictaluridae. The record is from Ensembl.